Long non-coding RNA from Callithrix jacchus (white-tufted-ear marmoset), 1933 nucleotides. The record is from Ensembl. Lineage: Eukaryota; Metazoa; Chordata; Mammalia; Primates; Cebidae.
UUAAAUCACUCUCCAUAUGGACAGUUUCCAAAUAUUUCCCCCAAUUCUGUGGGUUUCCUCUUCACUUUGUUAAUUGUUUUUUUUUUUUUUUUUUUUUUUUUUUUUUUUGCUGUGCAGAAGCUUUUUAGCUUGAUGUAAUUCUAUUGUCUAUUUUUGCUUUGGCUGGCUUUGCUUUUGAGGUCUUACACACAAAAAUAUUUGCCCAGACCAAUGUUCUGGAGCAUUUCCCAAAUUUUCCCUUUUGGUAGUUUAAUAGUUUCAGGUCUUAGACUUAAUACUUUGAUCUAUUUUGAUCUGAUUUUUAUGUAUGUUUCAUUUUGUUUUGUUUUUCUGAGACAGGGUUUCACUUUUGUUGCCCAGGCUGGAGUGCAAUGGUAGGAUCUCAGCUCACCGCAACCUCUGCCUCCUGGGUUCAAGUGAUUCUCCUGCCUCAGCUUCCCGAGAAGCUGGGAUUACAGGCAUGCACCACCACACUUGGCCAAUUUUGUAUUUUUAGUAGAGACAGGGUUCCUCUAUGUUGAUUAGGCUGGUCUGGAACUCCCACCUUCAGGUGAUCCACCUGUCUCCACCUCCCAAAGUGCUGGGAUUACAGGCAUGAGCCACUGUGCGUGGCUGACUAUUCUCUUUAAAGAUAUUGUCAUUACAAAUAUAUAUUGGGAACUUAUCAUGUGUCAGUGUCAUUGCUUUAAGCACUUUACAUAUAUUAACCUACCUAUUUUCCAAAAUAAUCCUGAAAGAUAGAUACCCUUAUUUAUUUAUUUUUAUUUUACAGUUGAGGAAAAUGAGAUACAGAGAGACUAAAUAAUUUGUCAGGUUUUAAGAUAUAGGCACCCACUAUCUUGUGAGAUGGUAGGUAAGGAAAGCAGUCUAGAAGAAACAUGCACCAUGGUGAAAGGGAUGUAGUCAAGAAUGCAUAAGAAACAUGAUCACCCCCAAGAAUUACAAGGAAAGAAGUAGUAGAAGUGAGAUUUGAAAGGUAGUUGGGAGCUUGUCCGAGUUUGGCUUUACAUGUCAAGCCAGGGAGCUUAAACUGCAUCCUAUAGGAGGUGCUACUAUUUCUACUUCCAGCUGCUUUCCUGGUCAUUGAUCCCAAAAAUUUGUGCCUGAGAAGACUGCACAUAAGGUGGUAGUCCUAGGAAUGGCUGUUUCUGCUGUCCCUCAGUGGCUCUGGUCUCAACAUAGGACAUCAUUAGAGCUGCUUUGUUAUUAAAUUCAGUUAGUUGAUCUAGUAUUUUAUAUUUUAUUUUAUUUUUGAGGUCAGGUCUCGCCCUGUUACCCAGGCUAAAGUGCAGUGGCGUGAACGUGGUUCACUUCAGCCUCAACCUGUCAGACUCAAGCGAUCCUCCCACCUCAGCCUCCCAAGUAGGUAGGAUGAUAGGCCUGCUACCAUGACUGGAUGUUUCUAAUUUUUGUAAAGACAGGGUCUCACUAUGUUGCCCAGGCUUGUCUUGAACUCCUCGGCUCAAGCAAUCCUCCCACCUUGGCUUCCCAAAGUGUUGGGAUUAUAGAUGUGAGCCACCAUGUCUGGCUUGAUAUUUUAAAACCAUGAUCAUUUUGGGAGGAUAAUGUCAAACCAGAAAGACUGAAAAAUAAUUCCCUCUAUAACUGUUCUCACCUUGUUUAGAAAAUAUACUAUCAUCAUGGUUGGUUUAUCUUUGGACUAAGUUUGUAAAACCUACAGUAGCAAACAGGUUCUAUGCCUAUGAGAAAUAGAAAUAGGAGUAGAAAGACCAGGUCUAGUGCUGGCUCUGGCUCUGCCAAAUGCCAGCCGUAUGAAUGUGGGUAAGUCAUUUGAACAUUCUGGACCUCGAUGUUUUCAUCUUAUACAUAAGAAUAAGAAUUACUAAUCUGCUUAACUAAUAAGAUUUUCAGGAACAUUCAAUAAGAUAAUCUCAGUAAAAGCUUUUUGUGUACUAUAAAGCAUACAUGUUAA